GCACUGAGGGGCCCUGGACAAGGCCUGGGCUCGGGACAGCAGCUCUGCCCACUGUGGGGUCUGCUUGGCGGCAGCCCAUGCCGCUUUUCUAUCAGAGUGGGAAACUUUUUGAGAAGUGACUGUGGUUCAUCUGUGAAUGGUGGCAGUUCACAUGCACGCCUGCUGGGUCCAGUGGACUUUCCUGCCUUCUGGGUCCCCCUAACUUUCUGCCUGUCUGGGAGGUGGGGGGAGCCAAGCCUCUGGGGAGGGCCAGGAGGUCACAGCCGGUUUCUCUUGUCCUCAGGGAGGCUGUCCAGGAGGCCCAGGCAGCAGUGUGGCCAUGCCGGGGGCAUCCACAGCAGUGGGGCUGGGGCUCAGGUCCAGGCUGCCCUCUCUCCUCCAGGGCCACAUGGAGGUGGUAACUAACAGCAGCCACAUGGAAAGGGGGCACCAGCUUCUCUCUUCCUCCAGGGGGCCUUUCCCUCUGUGGGUGCCUCUCAGUUCUCCACUCCCCCUUCCCCACAAAGAGCUCCAGCCUGCCCAGCCAGGCAGCAGCUGCCACAGCCCAGGAACCCAAGAAAUGUGCUUGGCUGCCUCUGCACAUUGCAGACUGCAGAGAUGUGGCCGUGCCUGUGGCAGGAGAGUCUGGACACCCCUGGGUUGUUCUUCACAGAGACAAGCCUGGAUGGGUCGUGCUGGAUUGUCUUGCUGGUGAGGGACAGGUGGAUUCAUUUUGGGUCCUGGGGCUGCUCUCUGCUCCAGGCAGGGCCAGGGCCCAGCUGGACCCUUCUGCUCGGAAGAAUCUCUGUUGGCACCAGCCUGGUCCACAGCAGCCAGCACGCCCUUGGCUUUCUCCCACCAAGUCACCUGCAGUGCACCUCACUCCAAGUCCUGAACCCUCACCUGUGGACUCACCUUGGCAAAGGGAGGGGGGCUGGGACUUCCUCCUCCUCCUCCUCCUCCUCCUCUUUUCUCUCCCAGGCUGGGUGGUGGCCCUUCCUGCCACUGGCACCUAGCUUUGAGGUCUCGUCAAUCUCUGCAGGCUUUUCAGACUCCCAGCUCCACACGGUGUAGAAGUUCCCCUUCCUUCACAGAGAGUUCAAAAUGCAAUAGGAAAAAUAUUGAUAAGAUUAAUAUUCUGAAGGGCUUACCUCCCACUUGCCAAGUCACUUAAACCCUGUUCAGUUGGUUCAUUGGGCACUGGUGAGCACCAGGGGCUUCAGGAUGGGAAGGUGGCCUCUGUGUUUGGCUGUGAACUGGCCUUGACUGGGAGUUCAUGGAGGCCGGGCAGCAGGCCACAAAGACCAGGUGGGGAGCAGGCCCUUUGGGGUGCCCUACUGCAGUGCUGACCCUGGAUACCCACUUGGGCUGCUCACCAUCAUUUCAGGUGGGCCCUGCGGCAUGGCAGGGACAGAGGUGACUGAGGUGGGUGACCACUGAGGAGUGAUAAAGGGGAUAGAAGGGACAGGGGACCGGGGAGGGAGCCUAGGAGAAGGUGGCCAGAGUGGAGAUGC
RNAcentral lists this long non-coding RNA (1493 nucleotides) under Marmota monax (woodchuck). The record is from RNAcentral. Lineage: Eukaryota; Metazoa; Chordata; Mammalia; Rodentia; Sciuridae.